This 76-nucleotide transfer RNA is filed under the name Klebsiella phage vB_KaeM_KaOmega. Its description in RNAcentral is "tRNA-His". It matches the Rfam family "tRNA". Rfam says of the family: Transfer RNA (tRNA) molecules are approximately 80 nucleotides in length. Their secondary structure includes four short double-helical elements and three loops (D, anti-codon, and T loops). Lineage: Duplodnaviria; Heunggongvirae; Uroviricota; Caudoviricetes. The record is from RNAcentral.
GUGGCCUUAAUUCAGUAGGUAGAAUCCCCGGUUGUGAACCGGGCAGUCGUGGGUUCAAGUCCCACAGGUCACCCCA